CAAUAGCGUAUAUUAAAGCUGUUGCGGUUAAAAAGCUCGUAGUUGGAUUUCUGUCAAGGACAACUGGUCCGCCCUUCGGGUGAGCACAUAGUUUGGUCUUGGCAUCUUGUUGGAAACUGUUGCUGCACUUGGUUGUGUGGCGCAGCGUCCAGCACUUUCACUUUGAGGAAAUUGGAGUGUUUCAAGCAGGCACAUGCCUUUGGACACAGUAGCAUGGAAUAAUUAGAUUGGGCUUUUGCUCCAACUUGUCGGUUUCUGGAGCUGAGGUGAGAAUUAAUGGGGAUUGUUGGGGGCAUCCGAAUUUAGCUGUCAGAGGUGAAAUUCUUGGAUCUGCUAAAGACGGACAACUGCGAAAGCGUUUGCCCAGGAUGUUUUCAUUGA
This 381-nucleotide ribosomal RNA is filed under the name uncultured eukaryote. RNAcentral describes it as "partial 18S ribosomal RNA". It matches the Rfam family "Eukaryotic small subunit ribosomal RNA", at positions 592 to 976 of the family's 1831-position model. The record is from RNAcentral.